AGGACGAACGCUGGCGGCGUGCCUAACACAUGCAAGUUGAGCGACGAACCAGGGCUUGCCCUGGGGCAAAGCAGCGAACGGGUGAGUAACACGUGGGUAACCUGCCCCGAUAACCGGGACAACCCGAGGAAACUCGGGCUAAUACCGGAUGUGCUCGCCGGACUCCAGUCCGGCGCGUAAAGGAAGCUUCGGCCUCCGUAUCGGGAGGGCCCGUGGCCCAUUAGCUAGUUGGUGAGGUAACGGCUCACCAAGGCUACGAUGGGUAGCUGGUCUGAGAGGACGAUCAGCCACACUGGGACUGAGACACGGCCCAGACUCCUACGGGAGGCAGCAGUGGGGAAUCUUGCGCAAUGCGCGAAAGCGUGACGCAGCAACGCCGCGUGGGGAAGAAGGCCUUCGGGUUGUAAACCCCUUUCAAGGAGGACGAAGGUUCGGCGGUGAAUAGCCGACGGACUGACGGUACCUCCAGAAGAAGCCCCGGCUAACGUACGUGCCAGCAGCCGCGGU
RNAcentral lists this ribosomal RNA (507 nucleotides) under uncultured soil bacterium. RNAcentral's name for it is "bacterial SSU rRNA". It matches the Rfam family "Bacterial small subunit ribosomal RNA", at positions 26 to 521 of the family's 1533-position model. The record is from RNAcentral.